UCGUUGGAAAAGUUUAUUUUU
Molecule: non-coding RNA, 21 nt
Filed under: Caenorhabditis elegans
Lineage: Eukaryota; Metazoa; Nematoda; Chromadorea; Rhabditida; Rhabditidae
Source: RNAcentral